UUUAUACACUUGAUCUCUGAAUUUCAGGUAAGUUCACAUGUUGACAAGCUUACAUAACUGAUGCA
Molecule: small nucleolar RNA, 65 nt
Organism: Impatiens glandulifera
Lineage: Eukaryota; Viridiplantae; Streptophyta; Magnoliopsida; Ericales; Balsaminaceae
Product: small nucleolar RNA snoR101
Exons: 1
Source: RefSeq, a predicted model, not a curated record